RNAcentral lists this ribosomal RNA (497 nucleotides) under uncultured bacterium. RNAcentral describes it as "partial 16S ribosomal RNA". It matches the Rfam family "Bacterial small subunit ribosomal RNA", at positions 28 to 507 of the family's 1533-position model. The record is from RNAcentral.
GAUGAACGCUGGCGGCGUGCCUAAUACAUGCAAGUCGAGCGAACAGACGAGGAGCUUGCUCCUCUGACGUUAGCGGCGGACGGGUGAGUAACACGUGUAUAACCUACCUAUAAGACUGGGAUAACUUCGGGAAACCGGAGCUAAUACCGGAUAAUAUAUUGAACCGCAUGGUUCAAUAGUGAAAGACGGUUUUGCUGUCACUUAUAGAUGGAUCCGCGCCUCAUUAGCUAGUUGGUAAGGUAACGGCUUACCAAGGCAACGAUGCGUAGCCGACCGGAGAGGGUGAUAGCCCACACUGGAACUGAGACACGGACCAGACUCCUACGAGAGGCAGCAGUAGGGAAUCUUCCGCAAUGGGCGAAAGCUUGACGGAGCAACGCCGCGUGAGUGAUGAAGGUCUUCGGAUCGUAAAACUCUGUUAUUAGGGAAGAACAAAUGUGUAAGUAACUAUGCACGUCUUGACGGUACCUAAUCAGAAAGCCACGGCUAACUACGUG